Molecule: ribosomal RNA, 468 nt
Filed under: uncultured bacterium
Lineage: Bacteria
Description: partial 16S ribosomal RNA
Rfam family: Bacterial small subunit ribosomal RNA
Source: RNAcentral
GACGAACGCUGGCGGCGUGCUUAACACAUGCAAGUCGAACGGAAAGGCCCUGCUUUUGUGGGGUGCUCGAGUGGCGAACGGGUGAGUAACACGUGAGUAACCUGCCCUUGACUUUGGGAUAACUUCAGGAAACUGGGGCUAAUACCGGAUAGGAGCUCCUGCUGCAUGGUGGGGGUUGGAAAGUUUCGGCGGUUGGGGAUGGACUCGCGGCUUAUCAGCUUGUUGGUGGGGUAGUGGCUUACCAAGGCUUUGACGGGUAGCCGGCCUGAGAGGGUGACCGGCCAAAUUGGGACUGAGAUACGGCCCAGACUCCUACGGGAGGGAGGAGUGGGGAAUAUUGCACAAUGGGCGGAAGCCUGAUGCAGCAACGCCGCGUGCGGGAUGACGGCCUUCGGGUUGUAAACCGCUUUCGCCUGUGACGAAGCGUGAGUGACGGUAAUGGGUAAAGAAGCACCGGCUAACUACGUG